CCUACGGGAGGCAGCAGUGGGGAAUAUUGGGCAAUGGGCGCAAGCCUGACCCAGCAACGCCGCGUGAGUGAAGAAGUAUUUCGGUAUGUAAAGCUCUAUCAGCAGGGAAGAAAAUGACGGUACCUGACUAAGAAGCCCCGGCUAACUACGUGCCAGCAGCCGCGGUAAUACGUAGGGGGCAAGCGUUAUCCGGAUUUACUGGGUGUAAAGGGAGCGCAGACGGCUGUGCAAGUCUGGAGUGAAAGGCGGGGGCCCAACCCCAGGACUGCUCUGGAAACGGGAAAGCUGGAGUGCAGGAGAGGUAAGCGGAAUUCGUGGUGUAGCGGUGAAAUGCGUAGAUAUUAGGAGGAACGCCAGUGGCGAAGGCGGCUUACUGGACUGCAACUGACGUGGAGGCUCGAAAGCGUGGGGAGCAAACAGGAUUAGAUACCCUUGUAGUG
Molecule: ribosomal RNA, 440 nt
Filed under: uncultured bacterium
Lineage: Bacteria
Description: partial 16S ribosomal RNA
Rfam family: Bacterial small subunit ribosomal RNA
Source: RNAcentral